Molecule: ribosomal RNA, 446 nt
Filed under: uncultured bacterium
Lineage: Bacteria
Description: partial 16S ribosomal RNA
Rfam family: Bacterial small subunit ribosomal RNA
Source: RNAcentral
CCUACGGGUGGCAGCAGUCGAGAAUCAUUCACACUGGGGGAAACCCUUAUGGUGCGACGCCGCGUGGAGGACUGAAGGUCUUCGGAUUGUACACACCUGUCAUGUGGGAGCAAAUUAAAAAGCUCGUACCACAAGAGGAAGAGGCGGCUAAAUCUGUGCCAGCAGGCGCGGUAAUACAGAUGGCUCAAGCGUUGUUCUGCACCACUGGGCGUAAAGCGUGCGUGGGCUGUGUCGUACUUCGUGUGUGAAAGGCGCGGGAGCAACCCGCGGACGGCACAUCAUACUGCGAGACUAGAGGAAUCGAGGGGGAACCGAAAUGUUCGGUGUAGCAGUGAAAUGCGUAGAGAUCGAGAGGAACACUCGGGGCGAAGGCGGGUUCCUGGACAUUAACUGACGCUGAGGCACGAAGGCCAGGGGAGCGAAAGGGAGUAGAUACCCGUGGAGUC